RNAcentral lists this microRNA (21 nucleotides) under Vitis vinifera (wine grape). Its description in RNAcentral is "vvi-miR159b". Its record names the gene vvi-miR159a. The record is from miRBase by way of RNAcentral. Lineage: Eukaryota; Viridiplantae; Streptophyta; Magnoliopsida; Vitales; Vitaceae.
CUUGGAGUGAAGGGAGCUCUC